RNAcentral lists this ribosomal RNA (472 nucleotides) under uncultured bacterium. Its description in RNAcentral is "bacterial SSU rRNA". It matches the Rfam family "Bacterial small subunit ribosomal RNA", at positions 355 to 825 of the family's 1533-position model. The record is from RNAcentral.
UGGGGAAUCUUGGACAAUGGGCGCAAGCCUGAUCCAGCCAUGCCGCGUGUGUGAAGAAGGUCUUCGGAUUGUAAAGCACUUUAAGUUGGGAGGAAGGGCCAUUACCUAAUACGUGAUGGUUUUGACGUUACCGACAGAAUAAGCACCGGCUAACUCUGUGCCAGCAGCCGCGGUAAUACAGAGGGUGCAAGCGUUAAUCGGAAUUACUGGGCGUAAAGCGCGCGUAGGUGGUUUGUUAAGUUGGAUGUGAAAUCCCCGGGCUCAACCUGGGAACUGCAUUCAAAACUGACAAGCUAGAGUAUGGUAGAGGGUGGUGGAAUUUCCUGUGUAGCGGUGAAAUGCGUAGAUAUAGGAAGGAACACCAGUGGCGAAGGCGACCACCUGGACUGAUACUGACACUGAGGUGCGAAAGCGUGGGGAGCAAACAGGAUUAGAUACCCUUGUAGUCCCUGAGCGGGCUGGCAAGGCGCAU